Homo sapiens (human) is the source of this 4431-nucleotide long non-coding RNA. RefSeq lists it as uncharacterized. NCBI's taxonomy places the organism in Eukaryota, Metazoa, Chordata, Mammalia, Primates, Hominidae. The transcript has 5 exons. The record is from RefSeq and is a predicted model, not a curated record.
UUCACAUAACUAUGAAGCAGGACUAAUCACCAAUCCCACCAUGGGCAGGACAGCAGAGAUCGUCACUAUGCUAACUGCCAGGAAUAGGAAUCCACACACUUCCGCCCACUGCAUCCUGGCCUGAAGUGCUACCAGUGUCUGUUGGAGACACGCUCACAUGCAACAAGUAAUGUGAAGUGGCUUUAGUAUAAUACAGACAGGCAGCAAGGGACAAAAGAAGCCUAGGAUCCAUUGUGAGGCAGUCCUCAAGGCUCAAGACAGCUGUCUGGGAAGGCACUAUUCUGAGUGUUGGAAGAUAUAGCAGUGGACAAAACUGAUAAAACAUCUCUGCCUUCAUGAAGACUAAUGAGGAGACAUGUGCCCAGUGACAAAGUUUAGAGUCAAGAACAGGGAUGUCUGGCCUCACUUUGGAUAAUCUGGACCUUUUCUGCUGCAAGCAUACCACUAGAUAGAAAAGAGGACCUGUGAAACAUCUUCUCCACAUUUCCCUUCCCUAGUGGGAAGCUUAUUGUUUCAGAGUCAAGAACUUGGUUCCAGGCUACAGUCCCAUGGCUACCAUUCUCUAACUGUUACUUUGCACUUCUAAGAUCAUGAAAGGUGAGCCCAUGAAAUUAAACUUUUGUUAAAAAGUGGAAGAACUUCAGAAUUGGAAGACCCCCGUCCAUGCAGUAAUCUCUUCAACAGCAUAUUUGGCAGAUGAUCAUCCAGGUCCAGUAUGGAUAUCACUACUGGCAGAGUUCACAAAAAUCAGACCAUCCUUUAUUGGCAACUGGGAUCUGGAUAAGUUCUUUCCCAGUUUCAACCUCCGUGGAACUGUGUUGUGUCCUCUUCAACUUUAUUUGAGGAAUUUUUACUGAACUGGAUCCAGGAUCAGAUUGUGUCUGAUAACUAACUAGAUUGGUUCCAGUUAGAGACCUCGGGUACGUACCUUUUGAAAUGAGUUCCUCCAAAUCUAAGAAGCCUAGGACUCCAUUUUUUGGGACAAUAGCUAAUGUUUUAUACAAAAAUUAUGAGCUCUGAACCUGUGCAUUUUUGGAAAAAACUGGUUAAUUUUACUAAGAACAACUUAGAAUUACAGUCAUCACAAUGUGGAAGUUUUAACCUAGUUAAAAAUAUUCACUUAUGAGGUGCAUUAGGAAAGAAAGGAUCCAAAAUGCCAAAAAAGAAAGGUGAUACAUUCUUUAAUUGGUGCAUAGAAGUAUCUAAACAUUUAAAUUAAAUCAAAGUUUGCCUCUUUAAAAGUUUCCUUAAAAAAGACAAAUGAAAACAAAUCUUAAAAGUCUUUUUAAUAAUUAUUAGUCAAAAGCUUUAGCCAUCUGUGCUGGAAAUCUUGUUCUAUGGUCUAGAAAAACAAUUUGAGCCCAGAUACUCUUUAAUAAAUUAGUGAGUUUGCAUUAUUGUACCUGACACAUGGCUAAAAUUUUUGAAUAAAAGCUCUAAGGUCUUUUUCUGUCUAGAUGUUUAUGUAUGUGAUGGAAUUAUUUAUAUGUUUUUCUAAAAAUUGAGCAUUAAUAUAAAAAUACAUUGAUACAAAACUAGAACUUGGUCCACCUGUUAAAACAACACAACUUUUUUGCAGUAUUUAUCUGCUCUGAAUAGGAAAUUGGGAAAGGUCUUCCUUUACCUUUUGCGUAAUUGGCCCAAAAAACAAAGAUUCCAUGUUUUACCAAGAUAAUUUCCUUUGCUUUAUGUUGUCUUUUUCAGGUUUUUGAUUACUUAAGAACGCUGAGACUUCUCUACUAAAAGAGCUCAGGUUUUUCUAUAACUAUGUAACUUUCUAUAUUUGUCUUUGAAGUCUUUUAAUAUUACCUUGGUUAAAUAAAUGAAUUGUUCACAGUGACCUGUGAUCCUAUUUUGAUCAAAUAUUUUAACUCUUUGAUAUUUUUGAUAAACUUCUAAAAUCAAAUUCUAAAUUAAUUCUUUUUCUGGACCUCAAAUAAACUUUGGUAUUUUCAAGAUGAACUUUUGGAACUUUUCAAAGGAAUACCUCUCCUGAUAAAAAGAGAGAUACUAAAAUAACUGGGCUUAUUUGACAUAUUAAAUUAUAUGGGAAGCAUUGUCAAAUAAUAAAAGUAAUGCCAAAUUUUCUUUGAGCCCUAUUUGCAUAGAUAUGUUAUUGAUGUGUUUCAGAAACUGUAUAAAGUUUAUAGAAAUCUAAUAGUCCUAGUAUAACUCUAACAGUUAUAAUUCUAGUUAUUAUCUUAAAAUGUUUUAUGCAACAGAAAUAACCAAAACACUUUGUCAAUUGAAUCAUUAUUAUAAUGAACUGUCAUCAUAUCUUUAACCAUGGACAUUUCAGGUCUUGUCAUUUACAGGUGGUUAAUUGUUUACUCUGAUACUUUCCUAACUAUAAGCCUAAAGUGUUUCAUCUUCAUGGAGAUUAAUGAAAAAUACUCUAACAAGUACAGGUUUCUGAUAACUUCAAGAUCAUACCAUUGGACUGGGCAAGAACUCCCAGAACUUUAGUGGAGCAAGUGACUGGUUCACAAAACUAACCCAAUAUCAGGCAGAACAAGAAUUAAUUAAAUACCAAGGAAAUGACCUGGCGGAUUUUCCUACUAAGUCAGCCAGUACUGAAAUUAUUAAGAUAUGCAAUUUGAAUGAACUCCAAAAAGAUUGAGUUAAGUCAAAUUACCUAUGAUAACUUAUUUAACAAACAAUGCUAUGCACCUGGAUGGCUACCUGCUUCUUCCUGAGUCCUUAAAGUUUCCAUUAUCAAAAGCUCUGCACUCCAUGACUUAUCAUGGAAGAGAUAAAAGGAUCCAAAUUGUGAAAAAAUAUUGAUGGGGCGACUCUUCUAAAAGUGCUAAAUGUUUGGCUUGUCAAACCCAUAAUUCUGAUAAGACAAUCAAAAGUUUAGGUGGUGUAUUUUUACCAUUUGAGGGAUCACUUGAACUUUCACAGGUAGACUGUGAAUUUCGAUUUCUACCCUUAAUGAGGUGUCAUAAUGUUCUUGUAAUACUUUGCAUGUUUUCUGAUUGUAUAAAAGCUUUCCCAUGUAGAAAAGCUGAUGCUAUGAUGAUAGUUAAGAAGUUAUUAGUGGCUGGGCAUAGUAGCUCAUACCCAUAAUCCCAGCACUUUGGGAGGCUGAAGCAGGAAGAUUGCUUGAGGCCAGGAGUUCAAGAUCAGCCUGCAGCCUGAGCAAACAUAUAACUAAUUCUCUUCUAAUCUUAGCCAGCUUGAUCACACAUAAAAUUCCUUUCACAAGAUUCAUCUUCCACAAACCUUCUACAACUUUUUCAUUCAUUCACUUUUUGUCCUAUACUUUUACUCCUCUCAUUUUAGAACAACAAACCAUUCUAGUUUAAAACAAGAUACUGAGAGCUCAUCUCUACAAAAACAAAAAAAAUUAGUCAGGCAUGGUAGCAUGACCUGUAGUCCCAGCUACUCUGGUGGCUGAGGUGGGAGUAUUGCCUGAUCCUGAGCCCAGGAUUUCAGUGCUGCAGUGAGUUACAAUUGUGCCACUACACUCAAGCCUGGGCAGCAGAACCAAACCCCCAUGUCUAAAAAAAAAAGGACAAAAGAAAAAGAAAGAGAAAAAGAAGUUAUUAGAAAAUGUGUUCCCUUUAUGGGGCAUCCCUGGAAAAAUAUCCAGCAACAGAGGAACCCACUUUACUGAUCAAAUUAUAAGUCAGUCAAAUAAGAUAUUUCAAACACGAUGGUAUUAGGUACGGCUAACUGAAUUGAUUGAAUUGCUUUAUUCAAAGAUGUUACCAGUUGAUGGCAAUUAGAUCCACUACCACUGGAAAACAUACAUUGAUCUCUUAUAAAAGAGUUACUGAAAUACCUAUGCCCUUAAUAAUGGAAACUCAGGUAUUGGCCCCUCUUAUAAACUCUGACAUGGCUGAAUAGUGCCAGGCUUUAAUGCAUUAUCCCAAAGCAUAUUUUCACCAGCUAAAAGAAACCCGUUGUGGCCUGUCAAAUGAUGAUAAUCAGAUCUUUCACAGUCUAAAACUCAGAAAUUGGGUCUUUUGGAAGUGACACCUGGGAAAGACUGCUCUUGACCUCUAGUGGAAGGGGACAAUACCAAGUUUUCUGCAGCAAACUUCGGGGCCUUAAGUAUUGGAUCCACAUCUCUCAGCUCAAAGUGGGCCCUCAAGACUCCUGAAACUGUACACCUAUUAGAGAUCUUAAGGUGAAACUGACUACAGAAGAUUUGGCCAUAAGCAGAUGGCAUUCUAGAUGCGGACAGCUCUCCCAAGAUUGAUGAUCAAGACUUCUCUGGUAUCACAAAAGUCUUGUCUUUUUCAUUGUGUUUCUUUUUAUUCUAAUCUCUUCUCUUUUCUUACAGGAAAAUCCAUGGGACCAUAAUCUGUGAAUGGCUUUAGUGAAGGCUUAUGCUCUAGCAAGAAACCAGAGCAAUUUUGGGGUGUGUGGACUAAUGCCCCCAAAUGAUAAAACAAUUCCAUUAAUGCCAGUGCCUCUUUGUUU